This 423-nucleotide ribosomal RNA is filed under the name uncultured bacterium. RNAcentral's name for it is "bacterial SSU rRNA". It matches the Rfam family "Bacterial small subunit ribosomal RNA", at positions 207 to 622 of the family's 1533-position model. The record is from RNAcentral.
CAAGACCUGCGCUUUUGGAGCGGCCGAUGCCUGAUUAGCUAGUUGGUGGGGUAAUGGCCUACCAAAGCUUCGAUCAGUAGCUGGUCUGAGAGGACGGCCAGCCACACUGGGACUGAGACACGGCCCAGACUCCUACGGGAGGCAGCAGUGGGGAAUUUUGGACAAUGGGGGCAACCCUGAUCCAGCCAUGCCGCGUGAGUGAAGAAGGCCUUCGGGUUGUAAAGCUCUUUCAGCCGGAACGAAACGGUUACGGUUAACACCCGUGACUACUGACGGUACCGGAAGAAGAAGCACCGGCUAACUACGUGCCAGCAGCCGCGGUAAUACGUAGGGUGCGAGCGUUAAUCGGAAUUACUGGGCGUAAAGGGUGCGCAGGCGGUUUUGUAAGUCAGAUGUGAAAUCCCCGGGCUUAACCUGAGAACU